Molecule: ribosomal RNA, 119 nt
Filed under: Helianthus annuus (common sunflower)
Lineage: Eukaryota; Viridiplantae; Streptophyta; Magnoliopsida; Asterales; Asteraceae
Source: RNAcentral
GGUUGCGAUCAUACCAGCACUAAUGCACUGGAUCCCAUCAGAACUCCGCAGUUAAGCGUGCUUGGGCGAGAGUAGUACUGGGAUGGGUGACCCCCUGGGAAGUCCUCGUGUUGCAACCC